This 69-nucleotide transfer RNA is filed under the name Cordylochernes scorpioides. Its description in RNAcentral is "tRNA-Gly". Lineage: Eukaryota; Metazoa; Arthropoda; Arachnida; Pseudoscorpiones; Chernetidae. The record is from RNAcentral.
UGCAUCGGCCGGAAAUCGAACCCAGACGCCCGUGUGGAAGACGCGGAUUCUACCACUGACCACCGAUGC